Molecule: non-coding RNA, 112 nt
Organism: Whalleya microplaca
Lineage: Eukaryota; Fungi; Ascomycota; Sordariomycetes; Xylariales; Xylariaceae
Source: the annotation of a GenBank genome assembly
GGUUGGCUAGUGUAACGGUUAGCACGGCAGAUUUUGAGCCGCUGGGAGAUUCGUCCUCUGCCGCGUGUCAUGUGGUCUUCUGCAGAUCUGGGUUCGAUUCCCAGGCCGACCU